This 26-nucleotide non-coding RNA is filed under the name Mus musculus (house mouse). Lineage: Eukaryota; Metazoa; Chordata; Mammalia; Rodentia; Muridae. The record is from RNAcentral.
UCCCCAACACCGAUGUCACAAGCCGA